This 301-nucleotide ribosomal RNA is filed under the name uncultured bacterium. RNAcentral describes it as "partial 16S ribosomal RNA". It matches the Rfam family "Bacterial small subunit ribosomal RNA", at positions 509 to 807 of the family's 1533-position model. The record is from RNAcentral.
CAGCAGCCACGGGAAUACGAAGGGGGCUAGCGUUGCUCGGAAUGACUGGGCGUAAAGGGCGCGUAGGCGGAUUGUUUAGUUAGGCGUGAAAUUCCUGGGCUUAACCUGGGGACUGCGCUUAAUACAGGCAGUCUAGAGUGAGGAAGAGGGUUGUGGAAUUCCCAGUGUAGAGGUGAAAUUCGUAGAUAUUGGGAAGAACACCGGUGGCGAAGGCGGCAACCUGGUCCUUGACUGACGCUGAGGCGCGAAAGCGUGGGGAGCAAACAGGAUUAGAUACCCCAGUAGUCCCUGUCUCUUAUAC